AUGGACAACUAGAGUUUAUGGAAGAUUGGCGCAGCAAAUCCAGUGAACAAAAUUUGACGUGCCUGUUAUGGGCAUAUCUUGGAAAUGGGCCAGCGGGAGUGAUUUUUCAGGAUUAAGAAUGUCAUUUUCAACAGCAAAUGUCUGGACCCCCAAAAUACGAUCCGGCCUCUGCUCCUCCAUUGCCCAGCCUGUUUAGAUAUGUGUCCUGAGACUUCAUUUGAAGUUCCAGAAGGUGGAAUCUGCAUGAUGAACAAACCCCUGUCAGAGCCGGAAUGUUGCCAGGAUGCCGGGGAGAAACACUCAAUAAAAAUAACGAUGAGAAGUGAAAACGUAAGCCCAACUUUGACAAAUGGCUGUGCAGGCAGCCCCUUCUGUGGAUUUUGGAGGGGAGGACUUUCAACCGGGAGAGGAAUCUCUUCCUUCAGACGGAUCAUUCAGGAACAGUAAAGAAGGGCCAGAACCAGAGAUAUUGAGGGCAUCAAAAGGACAACCAAAGAUCUCCACUGGCAACUGUCAGAAUUCUCUUCCCUAGAGGCUGCAUUCGGGCCAGCAAAGCUACAACAGUUGAAGUAGAAGAUGGAUUCAAAAAGGCCAGGACAGCAAUUAACAUAUUGAGGCUCAAUCUCUGGUAAACCAUUUAUUUCUUUUAAUUCAUGACCACAUUUGUAUUGAGGUGACAGAAUUCCUUUGGUGAACCACUCCCGGUUAAUUUAUUCAUC
Ornithorhynchus anatinus (platypus) is the source of this 719-nucleotide long non-coding RNA. RefSeq lists it as uncharacterized. NCBI's taxonomy places the organism in Eukaryota, Metazoa, Chordata, Mammalia, Monotremata, Ornithorhynchidae. The transcript is spliced from 3 exons. The record is from RefSeq and is a predicted model, not a curated record.